CUAGAUUGGGUGUCUCCAAACACUUUUGAUUAGAGACCCAUUAAUAAAAACGUUUGAGGAUGCAUUCUUUACUAAUGUGUGAGGUACAUUGUAAAGCAUACACAAAAAUUGGGAAUUAAAUAGACUUUGUUCUCUUAGUGCCUGGGGAGUGUCCUCACCCACACUCAGAGACCCUACCACAUUAGAAUUGACACAGAAAACAGGGGAGUGUAAAGUUGUAAAGUUAUUAAGACAAAAAAAAAAGUUCUGGCUUAAAAGUAGUUUCUCAGCCUGAUCUUACUGUUCCCUUUGUUCUUUGCAGAUUUGUUUGGUGUCUGUGUUUCAAUGUCAUUGUCCUUGUUUCCUUAUUGCAGUCCAGCCUUGCUGCUAAAGCUGGUAUGUCUAUCCAGAGACCAGACCUGGAGCCUUUCCCAGAGUCUAAGCUGACUUUCAAUGUAUUGCUUGGACACAUUUUAUUUAGAUCUCCAUCCUUCCAGGCCUCCCAGCCUGCUACCCAAGCCAAGCAGUAAUCUUUAAGAUGAACUUGCUGCUUUUUGGAAAUAACUCAUGUCCUUUUCCCCCUUAGGAGGGAUUUGUUCGUGUUGACCGAGAUUAUGUGCUGAAGUCUGCAGAGCUGGCAAAAGCUGGAGGGUGCAAACAUUUCAACUUGCUAUCCUCUAAAGGAGCUGAUAAAUCAAGCAAUUUUUUAUAUCUACAAGUUAAGGAGAAGUAGAAGCAAGGUUGAAGAAUUAAAAUUGAUCGUUACUCUGUAUUUAGGCCUGGAUUCUGUUAUUGAUAGGCAGAAUCUCGCCCAGGUGAAUGGCGGUUAGAAAGUUCUUUGGCUCCUUACCAGAAUCUUGGGCCAGUGGGAUUCUGUACCUGUGGUGACUGUGGUAGAGCAAUGUGAACAAUAUGGUGAGACCAAGAGACAAGCAGAUGGAACUGCUGGAGAACAAGCCAUCCAUGACCUGGGAAGUGCAUGGCUCCUCAAGCCAUGACACACUGGAUAAAUGGUUUUUAUUGUCAACCUUAAACCCAUUACCAAAUCGGUAAUUUCAGGGUCUAAAAAAGUCAGCAUGUUUAACUUUGUUGUUUUACUAUCCUCAGCAUCCAUUCCAAUCAAGAAAUGAUGGUGCCUGCAUUCAGUGGUUCAGACCUGGUUAUACAUAUAGAUCACUCAGGAGCUUUGGAAAAAUAAAGAUUUGUCAGCCCUAUCUCAAACUUGAAUCAAAAUUCUGGGUGGUGGGCACAAUAAUCAUAAUUUUCUUUGUUUAUACUUCCCCUGAUGCCACUGUUCUGAUGCCACUGGUGGGGGCCUGCUUGGAAAUGCUUAUCUGCAGAGUCAAGCAGCCAUGAAAACCUUAUGACCGUGCAAAGAACUCUGCUCUAAAAUUGUGACAUCAGUCUCGAGUACAAAAGUGCUAAUUCACUACAUGUAUUGUGUAAGUAAACACUGUGCCUUUACUACUCUUUAUGUAAUAGAAGUUGUAUACCUAAGCUAUAUAAUACAUAGGAGGAUUAAAUAAAGGAAUAAAGAUGAAUGGACAA
Molecule: small RNA, 1527 nt
Filed under: Pongo abelii (Sumatran orangutan)
Lineage: Eukaryota; Metazoa; Chordata; Mammalia; Primates; Hominidae
Description: retained intron
Source: RNAcentral